UCUAAAAAUGGCUGGGUUAUUUUUUAACCCAAAAUGCUGGGUUGAGUCUGUUGGGUUGUUUUGCUGGGUUAUUUUUUUACAUUUUAAACACUUUUUGGGUAGUUUCAGUUUUCUAGGUGUUGGGUUAAAACUGCUGGGUUAUUAUGUUGGGUUGUUUGAAGAGGCUCACGUGCUUCGCGCCCUUGAUGUUUGAAUGUGCUCAGCAAUGGUCGUCGUGAAAGGACAGAGUCACUGAAGCAGUUGUUUCAAGAGUGUGCAGAGUUUUAACGUCCAUCCAUUGAUGAGGCUAGCAAGACCUUCAAACAACUUCAGCCAAUUGCAACAAAUGUGGUGGAAUUUCUUCUCUGGACAGAAUCCUCGAAACCCUUUCCUUUCGUCCUGGCCAUGGGAAACAUGCAGCAGACCUCUCAAUCUUUUUUCUCAAUCAGUCUCUCUGAAUACGGAAGUGACUUAAACUGCAAUUCGGCCAAGAUGGCGACGGCACGCACCGCCUACUUUAAGCUUCAAAAAUGCUCUUCACAAACCAAUAGGUGACGUCACAGACACUACUUGCAUAUUUUUUACAGUCUCUGGUUUAAAGGCAUUUUAAGUGCUUAAAAAAAUAAAUACCCCAGGCAAUGUGCUUCUAUGGGAAUUCCUGUAGUCUGUCAUUUUUCAAAUGGAUGAAUCCCCUGCUGUUCGAUUCCUUUGUACAUCUUUGUUCGCGACGAGUAACUUUAAUAAAUGAAGUAUUUUUAGUCAAAUACAUUCCAUUCUGUGAAACUUAAAACAUUUGUUCUUUAAAAAAACUUUAAACAUCUAUGAAUGAUUUUACUUUUAAUUUAACAAUUACAUUGUUUCUUUUUUACACUGCUGUAGUUUUGUUUAUGUACAUUUCAGUAUUUCAUAUAUAUACUGUAAAAUUACAAAUUCUGUCUUAAAUUCAAACGAAUUGAUUCAACCUGUUACAUUGUUACUUCAAUGUGCAUAAUUUAUGAUAUUUUAUAAAUAUAUUUAUACUUGGGUCAGUAAGCAGUCCUUUAAAUGAUUUUGCAACUUACAACUGUAAAAAUGUAAGAGUUUGUAGUUAUUUUGCAAUCAAAUAAACAUUUAUUUGCUGUUAACAAUGGUCUUGAUUUACAAUAAAGCACAUGAUAAAAAUAACCCAGCAAGAAUAACCCAAAACCCAGAAUAUUAAUACCAUAAAUGGUUAAAAUGACUACAUGUUGGGUUUUCUCAACAACCCAACCUGCUGGGUUAAAAUGUGUUACCCAACGUGUUGGGUUACUUUAACCCAGCAUGUGUUCUGUCCAAUAUUUACCCAGCGCUGGGUUGCCAAUUGGGUUGUUUUUAACCCAACCAUU
Non-coding RNA from Misgurnus anguillicaudatus (oriental weatherfish), 1343 nucleotides. The record is from RefSeq and is a predicted model, not a curated record. Lineage: Eukaryota; Metazoa; Chordata; Actinopteri; Cypriniformes; Cobitidae.